This is an RNA transcript of Phragmites australis (common reed), 2013 nucleotides long. It is a transcript of the gene named shewanella-like protein phosphatase 1, with no coding region annotated. Lineage: Eukaryota; Viridiplantae; Streptophyta; Magnoliopsida; Poales; Poaceae. The record is from RefSeq and is a predicted model, not a curated record. The transcript has 11 exons.
UCCAGGGAGAAACUCAAUCCACAAACGACUGGCUCGGAGGUCACCUCACCACCGCGAGAGCCGUGUUUGUUACAGCCGCUGGCUGCUCAGUUUUACAGCGCAGCCACAGCAGCUUGCUGCCGGCCCCGCCCUCGGUCCUCUGUCCUUGCCAAUUACCAUCGCCUCUGCUUCCCUUCGAGAGCUCUGAAACGGAGUGGGCGCGCUCCGGCACUGCCUACUGGCUAGCUCGCUAGCUGGUGGCGGAGGCGACAUCCAUGGCCGUUCUUUCUCUCAGGCUCGCCGGGACCGCCGGUUUCGCGUCUCUGCCUGCUUAUCCCGGCCGCCGCCGAGCUGCUGCCGGCAGCGGCAGGUUCGCCUUCUCCACCUCAUCCUGCCGGGCUGCCACGGGAGGACCCAGCCCGAUCACCAUCGCCGGGGACCCGCCCACGGUCGUGUCCGCGCCCGGCCGCCGCAUUGUCGCCAUUGGUGAUGUCCACGGCGAUCUCUACCAGACCAGAGCAGCGCUAAAGAUGGCCGGCGUACUGAGCGCGGAAUCAGAUGGCCAUGUGUGGACAGGCGGACGGACGGUACUCGUUCAAGUUGGGGAUAUCCUUGACCGCGGCGACGAUGAGAUUGCCAUACUCUCUCUUUUGAGUUCACUGAACGUGCAAGCGAAAUCUCAAGGGGGUGCUGUAUUUCAGGUCAACGGAAACCAUGAAACCAUGAAUGUGGAAGGUGAUUUCCGGUAUGUCGAUCCGGGAGGCUUUGAUGAGUGCAUACACUUUCUCGAGUACUUGGAUGAAUGUGAUGGCAAUUGGGAUGAUGCCUUUCUCAACUGGGUUAAUGUCGCUGAAAGGAGGAAGAAAGAAUAUGGAGCUUCACCGAAUGGUGACUGGCGUCCUUGGAACUUUGUCAAGAAGCAAAAAGGGUUUGCUGCAAGAACAUCGCUUUUCAAGCGAGGUGGCCCGUUAGCGUGUGAACUGGCACGGCAUCCUGUUGUCCUUAAUAUCAAUGAUUGGAUAUUUUGUCACGGUGGCCUUCUUCCUCAUCAUGUUGAAUACGGGGUCGAGCGUAUGAACAGAGAAGUAUCAAUGUGGAUGAAAUGUUCAGGUGAAGACAGUGAUGAUGAAACAGAUAUCCCCUUCAUAGCUACUAGAGGUUAUGACAGUGUGGUAUGGAGCCGUUUGUACUCGCAAGACCCUGCAGAAAGCACGCGCCGUUCUUUGAUGCUAUCUUCUGUUGUUGCUGAAGAAACUCUGAAAAUUUUGGGAGCCAAGGGGAUGGUCGUAGGGCACACGCCACAAACCCGUGGAGUGAAUUGCAAAUGCGAUGGCAAAGUUUGGUGUGUUGAUGUGGGCAUGUCUUAUGGUGUUCUCUACUCAAGACCGGAGGUCCUAGAAAUAGUCAAUGACAGACCAAGGGUUUUGAAGAAGCAAAGAGACUCAUAUGAUGAGAUGGAAGUGUUGGACUAUUUAUAAAACGUUGACAAACUUAUUCAUGUUACUGCAGGUAUAUAAUAGCAAACAUUCUUUGUCCUGAAAGCUACUGUACCGGACACUUUUGGUGGAAAUACAUGAAGGAAAAUGCUAGAGAGAUGAACAUAAACAUCAGGAAGGCUUCCACAUUGUGAUCAACCCUUGUCAACAACGGCAGCUGAACGCGCAAAUGAAAGGCGGAGGUCCACGGCUUAAUUGUUUCACCAUGCCGGACCAAUUUUUCGGCGGUCUCACUUGCAUCAGCAUUCAAGGUUCUCCACAUGAGAUUGCUCAUAGCCUUCUUCAUGGCAGAUCUGUAGGCAUCAGGAAUCAUUCAAGUAGCACAAUGAGCCGGAGAAGACACGAACAUAUGCUCAGGCUUCUCAUGUAACUGCUCUGUUACCAUAAGCAAACUUGUCCUCUUUCUUUCUUUCAUGUGUCACCUCUCAGUAGCAAAAGGCAGGUUUGUAUAGGAUCUGCAAGCAGUAAUGUAACAGCAAACCACAGAAGAAAAAUCACAGAUGAACCUAUUAUGCAAAGCCCAGCCUAAAGCACUCAA